AGCGUGUGCUCCUGUAAGUCGCUCUGGAUAAAAGCGUCUGCUAAAUUACUUAAA
Molecule: non-coding RNA, 54 nt
Organism: Salmo salar (Atlantic salmon)
Lineage: Eukaryota; Metazoa; Chordata; Actinopteri; Salmoniformes; Salmonidae
Source: Rfam